This 1448-nucleotide long non-coding RNA is filed under the name Citrus maxima (pomelo). RNAcentral's name for it is "long non-coding RNA (CMAX_LNC000100)". Lineage: Eukaryota; Viridiplantae; Streptophyta; Magnoliopsida; Sapindales; Rutaceae. The record is from RNAcentral.
UUGAAAAAGAGAGAUGGAGAGACAAGAGAGAAAAGAAAAGAAAAAAAGAGAAGAAGAAAGUCUUCUUCUUCUUCUUAGUUUUUGCCAUAGACAACACAUGGGAUCAAGUUGUUAUUGUUGGGAGAAGUUUUGGAGGUACGUUUUAAUUAUUGGUUUCUAUUAAAUUGUUGUGGAGAAGCAUGAUUGUAAUAGAAGUUAGAAAUCAAAGAUUUUACAUAAAUAUGCUGACAGCGAAUUAUUACAGAAAUCAUAGUAAUUUGUACAAAUUGAUUUUGAUUCUGAUUUUUGGGUAUGUUAAACUAGACAUCGUCUAGAAUGUUUGAAACUUGUUUCAAGUUAAUCGGAUAAGAUUUCAAUUAAUUAUGAUUUUUCAAAUUCAAGUCUGAAAACCUGGAAUUUAUGAUUUCAGUGAAUAACGUGAAUUACGAAAUUAUUUUUACCAUAGUUAGACUUCUUCAAAAUUAUGAAAUUUGGACCAAUGCUUUUUAUAUAUGUCUAGUAUGAUUCUGGAAAUUUUCAUGAUUUUAUGAUAAGCAAUAAAUUGUUUUGUAUUUGUAAAAGCAAGUGUGUUCAAAACAGAAAAUGUUUGACAGUAUUGAUGAUGUCUGAAACGUGAAUUAUUUUCAAUAGUUUUUGAAGGAAUUAUGUUACGAAUUAUGCUAAUCUUCUCUGUAUCGUUCCAAUUUUAUCGGAUGGGAAUCGGUCUGAUACCAUUUGAAACACCCCAGUCUGAAAUCCAAGGGCAAAUAUGUCUACAACUCACAUAUAAUUUAAAUAACUCUUUACAACUGAUAAAGAGUAUUUGUAAAGAUUUAUGUUUUGAGGGCCGAUUAUUGAGGACAUUUGAGGUUGAGCUUAGGAGUUGUUUAAAUUGAGAUAUUUGAGGACAUUACAGUUUGUGAUUGAGAUUUGAUUAUAUCUUAUGAGGCGUUAUUGAUGAUUUUAGGUUAAUGGUAUCAGUACGCAUUUGUUACAUGAGGAUGCCAAGAGGUAAGUAAACUAGACUUUAAAACGAAUCACACUAAACAAUAUAUAUGUUUGACUUGUGUGAAAAGCAUAUUUUGAUAUAUAUACGGAUAUGGAUUUAGAUGUCUUUGCCCAUGUGUUUAUGUGAUGUGUUGGCAUGUGUUGAGCGUGAUUAUGUACAUGGGCAUAUGUAUGUGUGAUGGUUCAUUGGCAUGAGCACGAAAAUGCAUUGAGUUUUCUACGAAUGAGAAAGUGGAUUUUAGCAAACAGAAUUUAUGUUUUAUGAGAUUUUGCAUUGGGGGCCACCUCUUGAAGUUGUGUGGGGGUCACCUCUUGGGACUAUGCGGGGGCCACCUCUUGAGGGCCAGGGCGCCGCAAAGUGCCACGUACAGCACAAAGUGCCACAUUGUAGGAUACGUAUUUCAUCGAAAGAAAAUAAGAAAGUUUGAAAGCGACAGAAAGAGAUUUUUAUGAAUUUAUUU